GACGAACGCUGGCGGCGUGCCUAACACAUGCAAGUCGAGCGGGGAUUUAAGUGGAAGUUCUUCGGAAUGGAGAUUUAAAUUCUAGCGGCGGACGGGUGAGUAACGCGUGAACAAUCUGUCCCGGACAGGGGGAUAACACUUGGAAACAGGUGCUAAUACCGCAUAAGACCACGGCCUCGCAUGGGGCUGAGGUAAAAGGAGCAAUCCGGUUCGGGGUGAGUUCGCGUCCGAUUAGCUAGUUGGUGAGGUAACGGCCCACCAAGGCGACGAUCGGUAGCCGGCCUGAGAGGGUGAACGGCCACAUUGGAACUGAGAGACGGUCCAAACUCCUACGGGCGGCAGCAGUGGGGAAUAUUGGGCAAUGGGCGAAAGCCUGACCCAGCAACGCCGCGUGAGGGAAGAAGGUUUUCGGAUUGUAAACCUCUGUCCUAUGGGACGAAGGAAGUGACGGUACCAUAGGAGGAAGCCCCGGCUAACUACGUG
Molecule: ribosomal RNA, 483 nt
Filed under: uncultured bacterium
Lineage: Bacteria
Description: partial 16S ribosomal RNA
Rfam family: Bacterial small subunit ribosomal RNA
Source: RNAcentral